This 407-nucleotide ribosomal RNA is filed under the name uncultured bacterium. RNAcentral describes it as "partial 16S ribosomal RNA". It matches the Rfam family "Bacterial small subunit ribosomal RNA", at positions 30 to 526 of the family's 1533-position model. The record is from RNAcentral.
AUUGAACGCUGGCGGCAGGCCUAACACAUGCAAGUCGAACGGAGCGGCGGAAGGGUGAGUGCGGACUAGGAAUCUGCAUGGGAGUGGGGGAUAACGUCGGGAAGCGGAAGCUAAUACCGCAGACUAUCAGAGGAGCCUCGGUCGGAUUAGCUGGUUGGUGGGGUAGAGGCCUACCAAGGCGACGAUCCGUAACUGGGCUGAGAGGAUGAUCAGUCACACUGGAACUGAGACACGGUCCAGACUCCUACGGGAGGCAGCAGUGGGGAAUAUUGGACAAUGGGCGAAAGCCUGAUCCAGCCAUGCCGCGUGGGUGAAGAAGGUCUUCGGAUUGUAAAGCACUUUUAGUUGGGAGGCGUUAUCAACAGAAUAAGCACCGGCUAACUUCGUGCCAGCAGCCGCGGUAAUUC